AAAAAAAUGAUUCUGAGUGCAUGUAAAUGUUACGUAGUUAAAAUGUGUAAUAUUAACAAUAAAAUGUUACGUUUAUAUCUUUACAUAAUAUAUCUGGUUUUGAAUUUAUCUUCAUUUGUUCAAAACACAAGACAAUGUGCAUAUUUUUACCUUACAAAAUGAAUCUAAGUAAUCUCAACCAAUCUUUUGAGGCACAUGCACUCAACAAACAAUACCUUGUUUAAUUUACUCAGUGCAAAAAAUUACUCCCCUUCCUGUUUUUUGGUCUGGAAACCCCUUGCAUUUCAAACGAAGAGGAAGCCUACACGUGGAGACUGAACUCAAGAGCGCUCAUUGGGGUUUUUCAGCCGUCAAUCAUCUCGUGAACAUAGUCCCGCCUUCAGAAUAACGCGGUUCGCUGCACGCUUCCCCAUCGGAGCUCCGAGGGAAAACAAACCCAAAGUAGGCUAACAAUUAAACCGAAACUGAAGAAAAUUUGCUUACUGAUGAGCAGGUCAACUAAUUGCAGUGUUGUGGAGAGAGUAAAAUGUUAAACUAUUUUUAAUUAGGCUAUAGUUGUAGUUACAAUUUUUUGCCAUGUUUUUGGUUUCUUGCAUUGGUCAGUUAACUAUAACACUGUGUCCUUACCAGGUGAUCCUCCUGACAAGUAGGCUACACUGGAUAAAGUUUUGUGAUGACAACGAUUCUGCAGCCAUCCAAGAGGAAAUCACUUCAUUUGUACUCAACAUGUUCGUGGUCACCAAAACCAGGGAUGGAGGUCUCGAGAAGCAAGCUGGAAUAGCCAUCAAGGGAGAAGAGGUCCUUUUUGGAAUUCCCAGUGUAGCACAUGCUUGCACCUAUAGCUUAUGGGCAUUAUUUAUCCAAAUAAACUAAAAUACACCUUUGGAGGAUGUUAACAAAAACAUGCCCUCCAAAAUCCAGCUUAUGGCCUAAAAGUAUGACAGACGUUGUUGUUUAUAACUCUGUUUGGACUUUUUGGGACUUUGGCUUAUUCACCAUAUCCCCCAGAGUUAAAUAAGUCCACACAUACCCUUCUCAUCUCUGUGCAUGCCGUAACAGUCAGACGCACCCACUG
Non-coding RNA from Pimephales promelas (fathead minnow), 1075 nucleotides. Lineage: Eukaryota; Metazoa; Chordata; Actinopteri; Cypriniformes; Leuciscidae. The record is from RefSeq and is a predicted model, not a curated record.